CCUACGGGGGGCUGCAGUAGGGAAUCUUCCGCAAUGGACGAAAGUCUGACGGAGCAACGCCGCGUGAGUGAUGAAGGCUUUCGGGUCGUAAAACUCUGUUGUUAGGGAAGAACAAGUGCUAGUUGAAUAAGCUGGCACCUUGACGGUACCUAACCAGAAAGCCACGGCUAACUACGUGCCAGCAGCCGCGGUAAUACGUAGGUGGCAAGCGUUAUCCGGAAUUAUUGGGCGUAAAGCGCGCGCAGGUGGUUUCUUAAGUCUGAUGUGAAAGCCCACGGCUCAACCGUGGAGGGUCAUUGGA
This 301-nucleotide ribosomal RNA is filed under the name Bacillus sp. (in: firmicutes). RNAcentral's name for it is "bacterial SSU rRNA". It matches the Rfam family "Bacterial small subunit ribosomal RNA", at positions 338 to 630 of the family's 1533-position model. The record is from RNAcentral. Lineage: Bacteria; Bacillati; Bacillota; Bacilli; Caryophanales; Bacillaceae.